UCAGACCUCCUCCCCCUCCUCCCGGAGUCCACGUGGCAAGGAGGAGGGGGAAAAAACGAAGCAGCAUGAGGAGAGACAAAGAUUUACCGAAGGGGCGGAAGGUCGACGGCUCCUAACACAAAUGACUUGAGCGUUCAAUAGCAGCGAAGAUGAGGCGGUUCCGUUGGCUUCAUCGAGCCGUGACCUCCGACUCUCAUUGGAGCGGUUCGCAGCCGAGUGCGAAGCGGCCGGGAUGAGAAUCAGCACCUCCGAAUCUGAGACCGUGGUCCUCCAUAAUAAUGCGGCAGCAAGUGGAAGCGGGAUCAACCACCGCGUGGCAGAUGGGAAAGCGUCGGAAGUUGGGCGACAUAACCACAGCGUGGCAGAGAGCCAGCCGACGAGAAGGAGCUACACAGCUAGUGGGCACAAAAUGGGAGUAGUGGUGCCAGCCGGGAACAGUUUACCGGCUCGAGACAGGAGACUCCUUCUAGUCAUCGUACUGCUGACGAAGCAUUUGUCAUGAAACUCUGCGACGAAGAUUUGAGUUGGACUGAAAAAGGCGUACACAUCUUCCAAAGGGCCGCUUCUUGUGUCGGUAAGAUUAUCCCAGCCUCGGUCGCUCCCGUCGCUGCGUCAUUCGUGUUGAGCGAGGUGUCGCUUUCCAGCCGCGACCUUUAUGAGGUGCCUGUGUUCAAGAACGUUAAGUACCUUGACGCUAGAAACGCACCACACGCGUGAAGCCUACUUCCAAAUGCAGACAUCUUUCAUCUUGAAAGCUCUGAACUCGAAACAUUGACCAUCCAUCUACGCUCUCGCUCUCGCUCUCAUGAAUCUAUCAUUUGCUCACGUGCGGCCACUCAUUCAAUCUUGGUGGAAUAAUAGUAACACAAUUUAUUGCAACACGAAAUUCUUGAUUUUCUAUUGCUCAUCGGUUUAGCACAAUGGCCCGAAGGUCAUAUAGCCCGACCAACCUUUCGAUACUAUCAUUAUUUCCUCGAAAUCCCGCCAUUGCUUGUCUAUGCGGUUUGCUUACUCGUGUCUGUUUUGCAAAGGCAAUGUCUGCCUCGAAGCCAUCACAUACCACAGUCCAACUUCAACCAUCCCUUUAGAACAUUGGCUUGGGGAACAAUGAGUGAAAACGGGCAACACAUUAGAAAACCGGAUGGAAACUUUUCGUUUGCGUGCCAAAACAAAACCCCAAAACAACUGUUAACACUGUACUGUGAGAAGCAGUAAGUUCCGGUAUUUACUAUUUUGCAAUGUUAUCCCUGAACAAAGUUUGAAAA
Long non-coding RNA from Phyllopteryx taeniolatus (common seadragon), 1265 nucleotides. RefSeq lists it as uncharacterized. The record is from RefSeq and is a predicted model, not a curated record. The transcript has 3 exons. Lineage: Eukaryota; Metazoa; Chordata; Actinopteri; Syngnathiformes; Syngnathidae.